This 687-nucleotide ribosomal RNA is filed under the name Triticum aestivum (bread wheat). Its description in RNAcentral is "partial small subunit ribosomal RNA". Lineage: Eukaryota; Viridiplantae; Streptophyta; Magnoliopsida; Poales; Poaceae. The record is from RNAcentral.
AUGGUUGAACUAACAGAUCCAUUGUUUUUCGCCUUCAAAGAUGGGAUUGGGCCAACGUUACUAGUCCUCGGGCAACAAGGAAUAGCAGCUAGUCAUGUUCCAGCCUUAUCUAAUAGUUAUAUUCUGAUGUGCAGCAAGGCCCCAACCAAGCCCAUGAUGGCUAGACAGUACAGCAAUGCAUCAUCAUUGGACUAUGCUGCCAUUCUUAGUUCAACAAAUCAGCAUCCUUUUGCUCACAAUUUUUUUUCACUUGGUCUCAUGUUCAUCCAGCUCUCCACUGUCACCGUUGCUGGUGACGUUGUGGUUCUGCCUUGCCUACGAAUAGUAACGUGGCUGGGGUUCUGGCAUGGCGUGCCUGAUGUUGCCCGUGCUCCCGUUCCUAUGCCCGUGAAGUUGUACGGCUGCUUCGAUCAUAUCCAUUGUUUUUUCGCUUUCAAAGACGGGAUUGGGCUAACAUUACUAGUCCUCGGGCAACAACGAAUAGCAGGUGUAAGCCAUCACAGUCUUCUGUUUUCCAAAACAGCAGUCUUGCCUUCGUUGAGUGAGUAUGAGCUCUGGACAGGUAGUCAUGUUCCAGCCUUAUUUUAUAGUUAUGAUGUUCUUGUGUGCAGCGAUGCCCCAACCAAGCCCAUGAUGGCCAGACAGUACAAUAAUGCAUCCUCACUGGACUAUGUCACCAAUCUUUAG